AUUGAACGCUGGCGGCAGGCCUAACACAUGCAAGUCGAGCGAGCGGCGGACGGGUGUGUAAUGUAUGGGGACUGCCCGAUAGAGGGGGAUAACUACGGGAAACGGUGGCUAAUACCGCAUACUAUCGGAUAAGCCAGAUGGGAUUAGCUAGUAGGUGGGGUAAAGGCUAACAUAGGCGACGAUCACUAGCUGGUCUGAGAGGAUGAUCAGCCACACUGGGACGGAUACACGGCCCAGACUCCUCCGGAGGAAUCAGUGGGGAUUAUUGCACAAUGGGCGCAAGCCUGAUGCAGCCAUGCCGCGUGUAUGAAGAAGUCCUUAGGGUUGUAAAGUCCUUUCAGCGGGGAGGCGUUACCCGCAGAAGAAGCACCGGCUAACUCCGUGCCAGCCGCCGCGGUAAUUC
This 403-nucleotide ribosomal RNA is filed under the name uncultured bacterium. RNAcentral's name for it is "partial 16S ribosomal RNA". It matches the Rfam family "Bacterial small subunit ribosomal RNA", at positions 30 to 526 of the family's 1533-position model. The record is from RNAcentral.